GUAGGUGAACCUGCGGAAGGAUCAUUACCGAGCCAGGGUCUUUCAGGCCCGAAACUCCAACCCCGUGUCUAUCUACCACGUUGCUUUGGCGGGCCCGCCUUCACCGGCCGCCGGGGGCCUUUCGACCCCUGGCCCGCGCCCGUCAGUAGCCCCCCAACAAAUUCUUCGUACCAGUGAUGUCUGAGUUUAAUUAUAAUCGUUAAAACUUUCAACAACGGAUCUCUUGGUUCUG
This 232-nucleotide unclassified non-coding RNA is filed under the name rhizosphere metagenome. RNAcentral's name for it is "partial ribosomal RNA internal transcribed spacer region". The record is from RNAcentral.